CCUACGGGUGGCAGCAGUGAGGAAUAUUGGUCAAUGGGCGGAAGCCUGAACCAGCCAAGUCGCGUGAGGGAAUAAGGCCCUACGGGUCGUAAACCUCUUUUGCCGGGGAGCAAGGGCGGGGACGUGUCCCGUCCCGGAGUGUACCCGGAGAAAAAGCAUCGGCUAACUCCGUGCCAGCAGCCGCGGUAAGACGGAGGAUGCGAGUGUUAUCCGGAUUUAUUGGGUUUAAAGGGUGCGUAGGCGGGCUUUUAAGUCAGCGGUAAAAAUUCGGGGCUCAACCCCGUCCGGCCGUUGAAACUGGGGGCCUUGAGUGGGCGAGAAGAAGGCGGAAUGCGUGGUGUAGCGGUGAAAUGCAUAGAUAUCACGCAGAACCCCGAUUGCGAAGGCAGCCUUCCGGCGCCCUACUGACGCUGAGGCACGAAAGUGCGGGGAUCGAACAGGAUUAGAUACCCCUGUAGUC
Molecule: ribosomal RNA, 460 nt
Filed under: uncultured bacterium
Lineage: Bacteria
Description: partial 16S ribosomal RNA
Rfam family: Bacterial small subunit ribosomal RNA
Source: RNAcentral